RNAcentral lists this RNase P RNA (324 nucleotides) under Flavobacterium keumense. RNAcentral describes it as "RNase P RNA component class A". It matches the Rfam family "Bacterial RNase P class A". From Rfam's summary of the family: Ribonuclease P (RNase P) is a ubiquitous endoribonuclease, found in archaea, bacteria and eukarya as well as chloroplasts and mitochondria. The record is from RNAcentral. Lineage: Bacteria; Pseudomonadati; Bacteroidota; Flavobacteriia; Flavobacteriales; Flavobacteriaceae.
AUCGCAGACCGCCUUAUCGCCGUUCGCAUUGCGAAGGGAGGAAAGUCCGGACACCACAGAGAAGCAUAGCGGGUAACACCCGUCAGUUGGUCUCGAAAUUUCGAGAUGAAUUAGGACAAGUGCAACAGAAAGCAGGUACAGGUAAUGCUGUAGUGAAACCAGGUAAACUCUAUGCGGUGAAAUAUCAAGUAUAUCAGCAUUUAAGGGCUUCUCGUCCGUUGUUGAAGGGUAGAUAGCUUGAGGCUUGCAGUAAUGUAAGUCCUAGAUAAAUGAUAAGGCUCCGUUUCUUGGAGACAGAAUCCGGCUUAUAGGUCUGCUUUUUUA